UCUUAUCAAGAGAGGUGGAGGGACUGGCCCUAUGAAGCCCGGCAACCGGUAUUUUUAAAAUACAACGGUGCCAAUUCCAACAGCGUAAGCUGGAAGAUGAGA
This 102-nucleotide non-coding RNA is filed under the name Clostridium polynesiense. RNAcentral's name for it is "SAM riboswitch (S box leader)". It matches the Rfam family "SAM riboswitch aptamer (S box leader)". From Rfam's summary of the family: The SAM riboswitch is found upstream of a number of genes which code for proteins involved in methionine or cysteine biosynthesis in Gram-positive bacteria. The SAM riboswitch acts at the level of transcription termination control. The record is from RNAcentral. Lineage: Bacteria; Bacillati; Bacillota; Clostridia; Eubacteriales; Clostridiaceae.